This 485-nucleotide ribosomal RNA is filed under the name uncultured bacterium. Its description in RNAcentral is "partial 16S ribosomal RNA". It matches the Rfam family "Bacterial small subunit ribosomal RNA", at positions 28 to 507 of the family's 1533-position model. The record is from RNAcentral.
GAUGAACGCUAGCGAUAGGCUUAACACAUGCAAGUCGAGGGGCAGCGAGGGUAGCAAUACCUGUCGGCGACCGGCGCACGGGUGAGUAACGCGUAUGUAACCUGCCCGCAACAGGGGGAUAACCCGGCGAAAGUCGGACUAAUACCGCAUAAAACAGGGGUCCCGCAUGGGAAUAUUUGUUAAAGAUUUAUCGGUUGCGGAUGGGCAUGCGUACCAUUAGGUAGUUGGUGAGGUAACGGCUCACCAAGCCUUCGAUGGUUAGGGGUUCUGAGAGGAAGGUCCCCCACACUGGUACUGAGACACGGACCAGACUCCUACGGGAGGCAGCAGUGAGGAAUAUUGGUCAAUGGGCGAGAGCCUGAAACAGCCAAGUCGCGUGAAGGAUGACUGCCCUAUGGGUUGUAAACUUCUUUUACAAGGGAAUAAAAUGAGAUACGUGUAUUUUAUUGCAUGUACCUUGGGAAUAAGCAUCGGCUAACUCCGUG